CCUACGGGAGGCAGCAGUGGGGAAUAUUGGACAAUGGGGGAAACCCUGAUCCAGCGACGCCGCGUGAGGGAAGAAGUAUUUCGGUACGUAAAGCUCUAUCAGCAGGGAAGAAAAUGACGGUACCUGACUAAGAAGCCCCGGCUAAAUACGGGCCAACAGCCGCGGUAAUACGUAGGGGGCAAGCGUUAUCCGGACUUACUGGGUGUAAAGGGAGCGUAGACGGCAGCGCAAGUCUGGCGUGAAAUGCCGGGGGCCAACCCCGGAACUGCUCGGGAAACCGUGGAGCUGGAGUGCAGGAGAGGUACGCGGAAUUCCUGGUGUAGCGGUGAAAUGCGUAGAUAUCAGGAGGAACACCGGCGGCGAAGGCGGCUUACUGGACUGUAACUGACGUUGAGGCUCGAAGGCGUGGGGAGCAAACAGGAUUAGAUACCCGGGUAGUC
RNAcentral lists this ribosomal RNA (440 nucleotides) under uncultured bacterium. RNAcentral describes it as "partial 16S ribosomal RNA". It matches the Rfam family "Bacterial small subunit ribosomal RNA", at positions 338 to 795 of the family's 1533-position model. The record is from RNAcentral.